Molecule: non-coding RNA, 353 nt
Organism: Cyprinodon tularosa
Lineage: Eukaryota; Metazoa; Chordata; Actinopteri; Cyprinodontiformes; Cyprinodontidae
Source: the annotation of a RefSeq genome assembly
UCACCAUGUAUUUUGCUGCAUUAUUUCUGCUCCUUGCAGCUGCAGAUGUGAGAUGCGAACAGUUGACACAGCCAGCCUCUAUGACUGUGCAGCCAGGUCAGUCUUUGACCAUCAGCUGUCAGGUCUCUUAUUCUGUUGGUAGCUACGAGACACACUGGAUCCGACAGCCUGCAGGAAAAGCACUGGAGUGGAUUGGUUACAUGUGUGAUGGAUGCAGCGGAAAUCGCAAGGAUUCUUUAAAGAACAAGUUCAGUAUUACAGUUCAUGCUUCCAGUAAAACUGUGACUCUGAACGGAAACAAUAUGCAACCCCAAGACACUGCUGUGUAUUACUGCGCAAGACGGCCACAGUGA